RNAcentral lists this ribosomal RNA (301 nucleotides) under uncultured bacterium. RNAcentral describes it as "partial 16S ribosomal RNA". It matches the Rfam family "Bacterial small subunit ribosomal RNA", at positions 509 to 808 of the family's 1533-position model. The record is from RNAcentral.
CAGUACCACGGUAAUACAGAGGGUGCGUGCGUUAAUCGGAUUUACUGGGCGUAAAGCGUGCGUAGGCGGCUUUUUAAGUCGGAUGUGAAAUCCCUGAGCUUAACUUAGGAAUUGCAUUCGAUACUGGGAAGCUAGAGUAUGGGAGAGGAUGGUAGAAUUCCAGGUGUAGCGGUGAAAUGCGUAGAGAUCUGGAGGAAUACCGAUGGCGAAGGCAGCCAUCUGGCCUAAUACUGACGCUGAGGUACGAAAGCAUGGGGAGCAAACAGGAUUAGAGACCCCUGUAGUCCCUGUCUCUUAUACA